GGAGGGGAGGUCAUCAGUGUGGCCACGAGCCGAGUGCGUCAUGUCACUCCACCCCCCAUGUCCCUUGGGAAGGUCUGAGACUAGGGCCAGAAGCACCCCUAAACAGGGCUCUCCCUGAGUUUCGGGGAGUUGAGUUGGCAGAGACCCGGGCUCCGCGCGAGGUCAGACUGGGCAGGAGAUGCCGUGGACCCCGCCCCCCAGGACGGGCGCGGCGGACGCCUCCUCAGCCUGAACAAGGUGCUUUUUUUGCGAAACACCGCCAGCGAAGUGAGUUCAAUGGCUGAGGUGAGGUACCCCGCAUGGGGGCUUCAUAACCCAAUUCAGACUACUCUCCCCCGUCC
Molecule: RNase P RNA, 341 nt
Filed under: Microcebus murinus (gray mouse lemur)
Lineage: Eukaryota; Metazoa; Chordata; Mammalia; Primates; Cheirogaleidae
Description: Nuclear RNase P
Rfam family: Nuclear RNase P
About the family: Ribonuclease P (RNase P) is a ubiquitous endoribonuclease, found in archaea, bacteria and eukarya as well as chloroplasts and mitochondria. Its best characterised activity is the generation of mature 5'-ends of tRNAs by cleaving the 5'-leader elements of precursor-tRNAs.
Source: Rfam by way of RNAcentral